Molecule: ribosomal RNA, 292 nt
Filed under: uncultured bacterium
Lineage: Bacteria
Description: partial 16S ribosomal RNA
Source: RNAcentral
GGACUACUGGGGUUUCUAAUCCUGUUUGCUCCCCACGCUUUCGCACCUCAGCGUCAGUACCGGGCCAGUGAGCCGCCUUCGCCACUGGUGUUCUUGCGAAUAUCUACGAAUUUCACCUCUACACUCGCAGUUCCACUCACCUCUCCCGGACUCGAGAUCCUCAGUAUCAAAGGCAGUUCCAAGGUUGAGCCCUGGCAUUUCACCCCUGACUUAAAGAUCCGCCUACGUGCGCUUUACGCCCAGUGAUUCCGAACAACGCUAGCCCCCUUCGUAUUACCGCGGCUGCUGGCAC